AUACCCAAAUACAUGAAUCACUUCUGUCUGAAAAAGAAUCGAGGCAAAGCGUGGACGAUUUCUGUCACAGUGAUUACACACAGACCCGAGUGUCGAGAGGGACAAAUCCACAGAUUGACAGCUUUUCUUGCGAGGCUCAUUUGGUUCGGAGGAAGCGAGUGUGCGUGUGCGCGCGGGAGAGCGCGCGCGUGUGUGUGUUUAGCUCAUAUCUCCUGUAAACCGCCGGAUUAAACGCAACGACACAAAGAAGCUAAAGAGCUUGUGACAUGUUUUUCUUACAGUGACGUUUUCCUGCUGUGAAGACGCAAGCACCAACCAUAACAUCAUCUACACAGCGGUCAGAUGAGAUGCAGAAAAUCUCCACUGAUUCUGAAGGAGAAUGGAAAGCCCUGAGGGACAGCACAUGCGCGCGCACACACACAGCUAUGUGGCCUUCAGGGAUGAUGGGAAAUCAAGAACGCUCUGUGGCUUUGUACUGGUUCAGCUCACUGAUGGUCUGAUCAGUACUGGGCAGGUUUUGUUUUCCCUGUCUUAUAAAGUGAUUGAAUUAUGUUUGGAUUAACAUCUUAACAUGCACAAGUUCCUCUAUUAAUCUAGUAUCUGUCGAAAAAUAUUAUCAAUUUCAAACACUGCCAUGUUGUUAUUUUGUGCAAAACUAAUUGAAUAAUUUAGGUCGACUAAUGAUCUAUUUUGAUCCACCGUGAAUCUCUGGUUGUUAAAGUCUGAAUUACUGGACAGAUAUUUUAUGAGCUCAGUAUGAAAACAAGAGAAUUCAAUGGAAAGACAAACAAACAGAGGCAGACCAUCACCUGAGACACACGCUAACCUCAGGCAGUCCAAACACUUGUCAUCCUGCCAUCUGUCUGACAGUUUCACUGAGAACAAAGUGAGAAAAGAUUUGAGAGAGAGAAACAGAGAGAGAGGGCGAGCGAGCAAGAGAGCGCUGAGCGAAGCAGAAAAAUCAACGACAGCCUUAAAAAAAUGAGUGUGAUUAUGUACAUCAUGGAGUCAGCACUCUGCUUGUGUUAUCAGUAAGCACCUUUACAAGAAAACGUGCUGCAGGACGACCACACACACACACACACACACACACACACACACACACACACACACACACACACACACACACACACACACACGCACGCACACACACACACACACACACACACACACACACACACACACACACACACACACACACACACACACACACACACACACACACACACACACACACACACGCACAAACACACACAAACACACACACACACA
Molecule: non-coding RNA, 1272 nt
Organism: Misgurnus anguillicaudatus (oriental weatherfish)
Lineage: Eukaryota; Metazoa; Chordata; Actinopteri; Cypriniformes; Cobitidae
Source: RefSeq, a predicted model, not a curated record